RNAcentral lists this transfer RNA (143 nucleotides) under Aspergillus bombycis. It matches the Rfam family "tRNA". From Rfam's summary of the family: Transfer RNA (tRNA) molecules are approximately 80 nucleotides in length. The record is from Rfam by way of RNAcentral. Lineage: Eukaryota; Fungi; Ascomycota; Eurotiomycetes; Eurotiales; Aspergillaceae.
GGUUGCGUAGUGUAGUGGUUAUCACUUCAGAUUGUAUGUUUAUCUUACUAUGCAACGACUCCUCUAUCAGUUGACUAAUUAAACCUCCAGUUGAUCUCAGCAUUGAUAUUCUGAUAACCCCGGUUCGAACCCGGGCGCGACCU